GUUUGGUGUCUCUUCACAUGGACUCGAGUGAACUUUGAUGCCGUGGCUCGGAUCGGGGGACCUCCCUUAGGAGAUCAAUCCCCCGUCCUCCUGCUCUUUGCUCCAUGAGAAAGAUCCACCUACGACCUUAGGUCCUCAGACCAACCAGCCCAAGAAACAUCUCACCAAUUUUAAAUCCAGUAAGCCGCCUCUUUUUACUCUCUUCUCCAACCUCCCUCACUAUCCCUCAACCUCUUUCUCCUUUCAAUCUUGGCGCCACACUUCAAUCUCUCCCUUCUCUUAGUUUCAAUUCCUUUCAUUUUCUGGUAGAGACAAAGGAGACACGUUUUAUCUGUGGACCCAAAACUCCAGCGCUGGUCACGGACUGGGAAGGCAGCCUUCCCUUGCUGUUUAAUCAUUGCAGGGACACCUCUCUGAUUAUUCACCCACGUUUCAAGGGUGUCAGACCAUGCAGGGAUGCCUGCCUUGGUCCUUCACCCUUAGCGGCAAGUCCCGCUUUUCUGGGGAAGGGGAAAGUACCCCAACCCCUUCUCUCUGUGUCUCUACCCGUUCUCUGCUUUUCUGGGGAAGGGGCAAGUACCCCAACCCCUUCUCUCUGUGUCUCUACCCCUUCCCUGCUUUUCUGGGGAAGGGGCAAGUACCCCAACCCCUUCUCUUCUUGUCUCUACCCCUUCUCUGAUUUUCUGGGGCAGGGGCAAGAACCCCUCAACCCCUUCUCCUUCACCCUUAGUGGCAAGUCCCACUUUUCUGGGGGAGGGGAAAGUACCCCUCAACCCCUUCUCCUUCACCCUUAGUGGCAAGUCCCGCUUUUCUAGGGGGCAAGAACCCCCAAUCCCUUAUUUCCACACCCCGACCUCUUAUUUCUGUGACCCAAUCCCUUAUUUCCACACCCCAACCUCUUAUCUCUGUGCCCCAAUCCCUUAUUUCCAUGCCCCAACCCCCCUUCCCACUUUUCUAGGGGGCAAGAACCCCCAAUCCCUUAUUUCCACACCCUGACCUCUUAUCUCUGUGCCCCAAUCCCUUAUUUCUGUGCCCCAACCCUUUCUCUGCUUUUCUGGAGGGCAAGAAACCCCCACCCCUUCUCCGUGUCUCUACUCUUUUCUCUGGGCUUGCCUCCUUCACUAUGGGCAAGCUUCCACCUUCCAUUCCUCCUUCUUCUCCCUUAGCCUGUAUUCUUAAGAACUUAAAACCUCUUCAACUCUCACCUGACCUAAAAUCUAAGUGUCUCAUUUUCUUCUGCAAUGCCUCUUGACCCCAAUACAAACUCUACAGUAGUUCCAAAUAGCCGGAAAACGGCACUUUCAAUUUUUCCAUCCUACAAGAUCUAAAUAAUUCUUGUCAUAAAAUGGGCAAAUGGUCUGAGGUGCCUGACAUCCAGGCAUUCUUUUACACAUCAGUCCCUUCCUAGUCUCUGUGCCCAGUGCAACUCAUUCUGAAUCUUCCUUCUUUCCCUCCCGCCUGUCCCCUCAGUCCCAACCCCAAGCGUCACUGAGUCUUUCUAAUCUUCCUUUUCUACAGACCCAUCUGACCUCUCCCCUCCUUGCCAGGCCAAGCUAGGUCCCAAUUCUUCCUCAGCCUCCGCUCCUCCACCCUGUAAUCUUUUUAUCGCCUCCCCUCCUCACACCUGGUCUGGCUUACAGUUUCGUUCUGUGACUAGCCCUCCCCCACCUGCCCAGCAAUUUACUCUUAAAAAGGUGGCUGGAGCCAAAGGCAUAGUCAAGGUUAAUGCUCCUUUUUCUUUAUCCCAAAUCAGAAGCGUUUAGGCUCUUUUUCAUCAAAUAUAAAAACCCAGCCCAGUUCAUGUCUCGUUCGGCAGCAACCCUGAGAUGCUUUACAGCCCUAGACCCUAAAAGGUCAAAAGGCCAUCUUAUUCUCAAUACACAUUUUAUUACCCAAUCUGCUCCCGACAUUAAAUAAAACUCCAAAAAUUAGAAUCUGGCCCUCAAACCCCACAACAGGACUUAAUUAACCUCACCUUCAAGGUGUACAAUAAUAAAAAAAAGGAAGUUGCAAUUCCUUGCCUCCACUGUGAGACAAACCCCAGCCACAUCUCCAGCACACAACAACUUCCAAAUGCCUGAACCGCAGUGGCCAGACAUUCCUCCAGAACCUCCUCCCCCAGGAGCUUGCUGCAAGUGCCAGAAAUCUGACCACCAGGGCAAGGAAUGCCUGCAGCCCAGGGAUUCCUCCUAAGCCAUGUCCCAUCUGUGCGGGACCCCACUGGAAAUCGGACUGUUCAACUCACCUGGCAGCCACUCCCAGCGCCCCUGGAACUCUGGCCCAAGGCUCUCUGACUGACUCCUUCUUGGCUUAGUGGCUGAAGACUGACGCUGCCUGAUCGCCUCAGAAGCCCUGUAGACCACCAUGGACACCGAGCUUUAGGUAACUCUCACAGUGGAGGGUAAGUCUGUCCCCUUCUUAAUCAAUAUGGAGGCUACCCACUCCACAUUACCUUCUUUUCAAGGGCCUGUUUCCCUUGCCUCCAUAACUGUUGUGGGUAUUGACAGCCAGGCUUCUAAACCUCUUAAAACUCCCCAACUCUGGUGCCAACUUGAACAACACUCUUUUAUGCACUCUUUUUUAGUUAUCUCCACCUGCCCAGUUCCCUUAUCAGGCCGAGAUAUUUUAACCAAAUUAUCUGCUUCCCUGACUAUUCCUGGACUACAGCUGCAUCUCAUUGCUGCCCUUCUUCCCAAUCCAAAGCCUCCUUUGCGUCCUCCUCUUGUAUUCCCCCACCUUAACCCACAAGUAUAAGAUACCUCUACUCCCUCCUUGGCGACCGAUCAUGCACCCCUUACCAUCUCAUUAAAACCUAAUCACGCUUACCCGACUCAAUGCCAAUAUCCCAUCCCACAGCAUGCUUUGAAAGGAUUAAAGCCUGUUAUCACUCACCUGCUACAGCAUGGCCUUUUAAAGCCUAUAAACUCUCCUUACAAUUCCCCCGUUUUACCUGUCCUAAAACCAGACAAGGCUUACAACUUAGUUCAGAAUCUGUGCCUUAUCAACCAAAUUGUUUUGCCUAUCCACCCCGUGGUGCCAAACCCAUAUACUCUCCUAUCCUCAAUACCUCCCUCUACUACCCAUUAUUCUGUUCUGGAUCUCAAACAUGCUUUCUUUACUAUUCCUUUGCACUCUUCAUCUCAGCCUCUCUUUGCCUUCACUUAGACUGACCCUGACACCCAUUAGGCUCAGCAGCUUACCUGGGCUGUGCUGCCGCAAGGUUCCAGGGACAGCCCUCAUUACUUCAGCCAAGCUCUUUCUCAUGAUCUACUUUCUUUCCACCCCUCCACUUCUCACCUUAUUCAAUAUAUUGAUGACCUUCUUCUUUGUAGCCCCUCCUUUGAAUCUUCUCAACAAGACAUACUUCUGCUCCUUCAGCAUUUAUUCUCCAAAGGAUAUCGGGUAUCCCCCUCCAAAGCUCAAAUUUCUUCUCCAUCCGUUACCUACCUCGGCAUAAUUCUUCACAAAAACACAGGUGCUCUCCCUGCUGAUGGUGUCUGAUUAAUCUCCCAAACCUCAAUCCCUUACAAAACAACAACUCCUUUCCUUCCUAGGCAUGGUUAGUGCGGUCAGAAUUCUUACACAAGAGCCAGGACCCCACCCUGUAGCCUUUCUGUCCAAACAACUUGACCUUACUGUUUUAGCCUAGCCCUCAUGUCUGCAUGCAGCAGCUGCCGCUGCUUUAAUAAUUUUAGAGGCCCUAAAAAUCACAAACUAUGUUCAACUCACUCUCUACAUUUCUCAUAACUUCCAAAAUCUAUUUUCUUCCUCAUACCUGACGCAUAUACUUUCUGCUCCCCGGCUCCUUCAGCUGUACUCAUUCUUUGUUAAGUCCCACAAUUACCAUUGUUCCUGGCCCAGACUUCAAUCUGGCCUCCCACAUUAUUCCUGAUACCACACCUGAUCCCCAUGACUGCAUCUCUCUGAUCCACCUGACAUUCACCCCAUUUCCCCAUAUUACAAGCCACUAGCCCAUCUCUUAGAACCUCUCAUUUCCUUUCCAUUGUAGAAAUCUAUCCUCAAGGAAAUAACUUCUCAGUGUUCCAUCUGCUAUUCUAUCUGCUAUUCUGCUACUCCUCAAGGAUCAUUCAGGCCCCUCCCUUCCCUACACAUCAAGCUCGAGGAUUUGCCCCCGCCCAGGACUGGCAAAUUAGCUUUACUCCACAUGCCCCGAGUCACAAAAACUAAAAUACCUCUUAGUCUAAGUAGACAUUUUCACUAGAUAGGUAGAGGCCUUUCCUACAGGGUCUGAGAAGGCCACCGCAGUCAUUUCUUCCCUUCUGUCAGACAUAAUUCCUCAGUUUAGCCUUCCCACCUCUAUACAGUCUGAUAACAGACCAGGCUUUAUUAGUCAAAUUAGCCAAGCAGUUUUUCAGUUUAUAUCCCUUAUAGUCCUCUGUCUUCAAGAAAAGUAGAACGGACUAAAGGUCUUUUAAAAACACACCUCACCAAGCUCAGCCACCAACUUAAAAAGAACUGGACAAUACUUUUACCACUUUCCCUUCUCAGAAGUCAGACCUGUCCUCAGAAUGCUACAAGGUACAGUCCAUUUAAGCUCCUUUUUAUUAGGCCCCAGUCUCAUCCCAGACACCAGACCAACUUAGACUGUGCCCCCAAAAAAACUUGUCAUCCCUACUAUUUUCCGUCUAGUCAUACUCCUAUUCUCCGUUCUCAACUACUCAUACAUGCCCUGCUCUUGUUUACACUGCCAGUUUACACUGUUUCUCCAAGCCAUCAUGGCUGAUAUCUCCUCAUGCUAUCCCCAAACUGCCACUCUUAACUCUUGAAGUAAAUAAAUAAUCUUCGCUGGAAGGACUAUGCUGAACCUCCUUAGGCAUUCUCUAAUUAGAUGUCCUAGAUCCUCCCAAUUCUUAGUCCUUUUAUACCUGUUUUUCUCCUUCUCUUAUUCCAUUUAGUUUUUCAGUUCAUACAAAACCGUAUCCAGGCCAUCACCAAUCUUUCUGUAUGACAAAUGUUUCUUCUAACAACCCCCUCAAUGUCACCCCUUACCACAAGACCUCCCUUCAGCUUAAUCUCUCCCACUCUAGGUUCCCACGCCGCCCCUAAUCCCGCUUGAAGCAGCCCUGAGAAACAUCGCCCAUUCUCUCUCCAUACCACCCCCCAAAAAUUUUCACCGCCCCAACACUUCAACACAAUUUUGUUUUAUUUUUCUUAUUAAUAUAAGAAGGCAGGAAUGUCAGGCCUCUGAGCCCAAGCCAAGCCAUCGCAUCCCCUGUGACUUGCACGUAUACGCCCAGAUGGCCUGAAGUAACUGAAGAAUCACAAAAGAACUGAAAAGGCCCUGCCCCGCCUUAACUGAUGACAUUCCACCAUGGUGAUUUGUUCUUGCCCCACCUUAACUGAGUGAUUAACCCUGUGAAUUUCCUUCUCCUGGCUCAGAAGCUCCCCCACUGAGCACCUUGUGACCCCCGCCCCUGCCCACCAGAGAACAACCCCCUUUGACUGUAAUUUUCCAUUACCUUCCCAAAUCCUAUAAAACGGCCCCACCCCUAUCUCCCUUCGCUGACUCUCUUUUCGGACUCAGCCCGCCUGCCCCCAGGUGAAAUAAACAGCCAUGUUGCUCACACAAAGCCUGUUUGGUGUCUCUUCACACGGACGCGCAUGAAAAAAACCCUUUCAUUUUACUGUGGGACGGCAACCCUUUCUGGGACCCCUCUCUGCAGCAGAGAACUGUUCUCUUUCUUUCACCUGUUAAACUUCUGCUUCUGCUCUGACCUCGUCCUUGGUGUGUCUGCAUCGUCGAUUUCCUCAGCUGUGAGACCAACGACUUGGGCACCCACCCAGGCAACAAGGCCUUUUCAGUAAGGGAAGUGGUAAAAUGUUUUCAAUCCCUGUUGCCAAAAAUCGGCCUAAGGCUUCCCAAAAAAAGUAACCCAAAGCAGACAUGGCAAAUAUUUGCUACAUUUGAUAAUAAGCCAAUAAAUUAUCUGCUAAUAAGUGACUGAAAUAUUUAGCACACAUCUGCCUUAUUCUGAUGACUGAUCACAUUUCUAGCUCCCCUGUGGACUAAAACAAUAUGCUUUCCUUCUCUACACAAGCAAUGCUUUCUGCAGAGACACAAACUUUACAUCUGAAUACAAAUGCAGCACGUUUUAAUUCUGCCUCUCAUUCUCCAGCAAAAUCAUGGGGAAGAAGGAAAACAUCCUUAGUCAAAAGGGGUACAGGGACUUAGAACCUCACCAUGCUGCAGUCACACAGGCAAUAGAGAAAGAUGGCGGUGGUUCCCUGGGGCAGUUCCCCUCUCAAGCAAGGAGACAGGGGCAGCACUCCUACCAUCUCCCCAGGGAUAUAGGAGUUAAGAAGGAAUUGCUUAGGCAGAUAGCAAGGGCAUGGGAGUCCUGGGUAAGGCUUUUCUUUUUAAUGAAAAGCAGCCCCAAGUCAUUUUCUAACAAAGAGCAGCCUGCAAGCUGGGAGCUUGCAUAGGUGAAUGCCAGCAGGAACUAAGGACUAGACAUUUUCAAACUGGUGGCUCCAUCUUCCCUUCCCUGCCAGCCAAGUGUAUUGUAAGGAGCAGAGAAGAUGGCUCUGAUCAACUGGAAAGCCUAUUUGCAUAAUUAGAUUAGGGUGGGGCAACCAGCCUUCCCCCGCACACUAUGUAGACGUCAUACCUGAUGGAACCAGUCUGUGAGCCCUAUGUAAAUCAGACACCGCCUUCUCCAACUUAUUAUAUCUGUUUUGGUCCACUGCCUCCCCACUUUUCAGAUGUCUCUCUCUCUCUCUCUCUCUAAGAGCUGCUCUCCUCUCUCCUUUCUUCUAUCUAUUAAAUUUUCCACUCCCUAACCCACCCACAUGUGAUUGUGUCCUGAAUUCUUGGUGUGUGACGAUGAACCCCAGGGUGUAUACCCCAGACAGCACAGCCACUUCACCAGCAGGGACAGCAGCUGUCACAUGAACUGGAGAUGAACUGGAGUAGCACACUCUACCAGCUGGGAUGUCUGGAUAACAAGUUCCCCAGAUUGCAGCCUCCCUCCAGCACCAAGUAGGAUUACGAGUCUGUUUGGUUUCAUUUUAGCUAUGUAGAUUUGUCAAAUUUUGUCACCUCUGGACUUCAGUUUUCUCAUAUGUAAAAUGAUGCAUUGGCCUGAAUGUUUUCGGAGAACCUUCAAUCUCUGUGAGUCUCUUCACUGAAAAAAUUGUUGACUUUCUUUUUUUUAUUGUUCUGUUUUUCUUUUCUAUGUCAAAAAAGCACUAUGGUAAAAGUCUUUCAGUAAAACUUGAACCUUGGGGCUUGUUCCUGAGUUUGACAUGUUAAACAAAUGAAAGAACUGUUUUCAACUGAUUAGUCAUAUCCUUCAAUUCCUACGGGAAUAUGGGUUCGUUGUGCAUGAGAAAGUCAGCCAACUUUGGCAUGAAGAUGUCUUUCAGGUAGGUAGGCCACCUGUGAUGAAGUGAAUCAUUGAAGAAAGUCUAUUUUCUUGUGGCAUAAAUACAAGCCUGAAGAUUACACAUAAGCUGUCAUACACGUACCUCCUAAAUGCAAUUCCUCAGAAGUGACAUGCUAUCAUCAUUCACAUUAAUGUCUAUUUGUGCAACUACAUUGUUUAAAAUAAUCAACCAAUUCAUCACAAUAGAUAUUUGGGAGGAGUGAGGGAGCUUUCUCUGUACUAAUGAAAGAAAUGACAUUUCUGUUUACCAUUUGUCAGUUUUAAGUAGUUAAUAAAUAUCUGAAAUGAUUUUCAUAUUUUGAUAUGGUAUUCACUUGUAAGGAUAUGCAAUUUUUAAGAGUUAUGGUGAGAAUGUUUCUUCCAUAACAUUCAGCUUUGAAAAGUUUUAGGAAACUAUUCAUUAUGUCUCAAAAGUUAAAUGCACGACAAAUGAAAUGCCUCUUAUUGGUUGCAAUUUUCUAAAAGUAAGUAAUGCCUAUUACUUUGAUAUUUAACUCAAAUAUAUUAACAAUAAUUGAAAGCUUUUGAGUGCUACAGGUUGAUAAUAAACCUGAAAGUAUAGAAUAAUCAUCUGUAUUUUAAAAUUUUUAUUCUUAAGGCCAACAAAACAAAGUAAGAAUUAUGUCAGUGUUUCUAACUGUCCUACCCAGAUCUAGCUCCUGACUGAUAAUUGUCAACAGAGUCAAACACGCCUUCCUAAGGCCAGCUCCACUUCUCCAAAGCAAGCUCCUCUCACUUUGCCACCCAGAAGCCACACUGGAACCUGGAAUCUAAAGAAUGUGUUUGCAUUAUCAAAGAACUCUCCCUCUCCUAAAGGGUCCACCCUGGGAUUCCAUUCUAGUGACUUGACAAAAUGCUUCUAAUUACUCCUUAGUUAGUUCCCAUAAUCCGCUUAAGGACUUGUUUACUUGUUGACAGGCAGGGUAGGAAUUCAGCCUUGACAGUCUGUGUCAGUGCAACAUCAUAAAUAAGAUAAACAUUAUCUGAAGUGAUCACAAUGUUCUUGAACAUCUGUGCAACAUCAUAAAUAAGAUAAACAUUAUCUGAAGUGAUCACAAUGUUCUUGAACAUCUGAGCCGGACAGAAUCAAGCCUGCGUCAUCUUCCUUCUGAUUUUCCAAAUGAGCACACAGGAGAGGCCACUCUAAAGUCACCCUGGGAAUGUGUCUGCCUCCAGCCCCAUUCACGGCCCCUGGCACUGGCUUGUCAUGAGAUGGUGUUCAAUGAAUGCUUGUGGAAUUGAAUGAACACAAUGUGGAUUUACACCCUUUCCUGUCAAAUAGCUAGUUCUAAAAAAUACAGACCUGCACUUCAGCCAUGCAAUGCCUUUUAAGAUGUUUCAUACUCUGAUGCAGAGGAAGAUGUCUCUUGCCAUUACAGAACCACACCGAGAAAGAUCAAACAAAAUCACACCAAGAAAAUUCAUGUGCAGAUCAUCUCAUUUGCAAUUAUUGCAGCAUGCACCAAGUCCAACACAUUUCACCCACACUUUAUCAGCAAAAAAGAAAACACCUGAGGGUCAGCGUCUUCUCCAGGUCCUGGCACAGGACUACCUGAACCACGGAGAUGUUCAGUGGGUUGUGUAAAUGACAUUCCUUUCAUGGAGACGAAUGGGCACAUGGCGUCUAAAAGCCAUUCUGUAAGACAUAUUCCAAAAAUAAUUGUUUUAGUACCUUUUCAGACUGUGCAUUUAAAAAAAAAAAAAGCCCUUAGCCUCUAGGUCACAUGUACCAAACAGUAGUUCAUUACGAUGCAAUACGGCCCCGCCACACUUACUAAUUUUAUACCAAGAGGAUGAAAUGAUGUUGUCUAGGGAACAGGAUAAGAGGAAAGGGGUUUAGGAACUCAGAAUUUUAUUCUGGCUCUGAUGCUAAUUUUCCUGUGACCUCAGCCAAGUCCUAUAAAUUGUUACUAUCUGCAAAGUGAAGAUAAUGGACAAGUCUCACAGGAUAGUUGUGGAGAUUAAUUAGGCAGCUCAUUUGAGAUUCAAAGUGCUGUGAGCCCACAAGAAAAGUCCUGGGGAAGAACAAAGGCGGGGCCCACGCUUCGUUUCAGCAGGCCGGGGACCACACCAAAGGCACUUCAGGGAUGCAUUUGGUGGCACCCCGGUAUUUGUUAAUUUACUGGUAUUAGGAAGUCAUUAUGGUUACCAGGGGUUAAUGGAAAGAUUGAACUUGCUAAAAUGGGCCAUAGAGGCGUAAAUCGAGGGCUCCUUUGUUCAAAGGAGGAUUGGGCCCUUCAGCAUUAAGCCUAGCUGCAGUGUGCUUCCUGGCCUUGCAGAUAUCUUUCAGAAAUCCAAAGCAGGCUGUUGGUAGCAUGAACAUUUUAUUUUUCAGUGAAAAAUGAAAUCUUUUACUUCUCAAUAUGUCCAAGAGAAAAAUUAUUUCAGAGAAAAAAAAGAGAACAAGUUAAUUAGUAUGCCUUUAGUGAUCCUCUGAUGGAAGAGUUCCAUCCCUGCAUCCCUUACACCUGCAGCUAGGGGGUGAAUGCUCACAUGCGUGCACACACACACACACACGCACACACACACACCGAGCUGAAUGAGAAGUCUAGGAAGAAGCCAGCGUAACACUCAGGGAAGGAGCCCAGAGGAGUCUCCAGCUUGCACAGAAGGAACUCAUGUGAAGUGCACAGCAUAUAGAAUGAAAUAGAUCCCAGAGUUUUCAAAGCGAGGCUCAGCUUUGCAAGAGAAGCUCAAAUGAAUACAAACCAGUCAGGGAAGUUAUAGAAGGAAGUGAGAUGUUUGACUUUUUAUGAAAGGUGUCUUUUGAGGGCAAAUUUUGUGAGAGUUGUAAGAGGGAGGGAGGAGUAUGGAUAAAGAUCAAAAGUACUACAUUCCCUAGGCCUGUUUCCAUGUCCCUCUCUUGGUGGAGGCCAGAGUGUGCAUUUCAGUAGGUGCACUAAAAUCCUGACAUCUCUAACCAGCCCCGGUCGUCCUAUUUGAAUAUGGCUCUAUAUAGAUGACAGGCAUGAAAAGCCACACGUAUUGCAACAGCCAUUCAGUCCUUGAAAGAGCACUGCAAUUCUACCUUGCCAGGAGAAUCUACUUUGUAAAGAAGAAAGGAAAGAGGGAGAAAGAUAAGAGCAAGCCGUAAAUAAAGCAGGACUAAGAAAUGAAGCAGGAAGAUGCCGCUUGAAGGACAAUACAAGAUGAGUAACAGGGACCAGAACACGCUACCCUAGAAUAUGACAUGCUGGCAUUUAAGGAGACAGCAGAAGCAGGAAGGUCUCUCUGACCUUCUUCCACCAUUCUCCCCUGAAGCAGGCCAUGAAAGAAUUCUCUGGCCUUUCUCUAAAAUAAGUCAUAAGACUCUCAUUACAGAAGACUGUUCCUUAUAUUGGGGGGAAAGGAAUGAAGACAAAAAAACACCAAGACGAAUCUGAACAAAGGCCUUGCUAAGUUCCCCUCAUUUUAUAACCAUUAGGUCACACCCACUUUGUCCAAUCAUAUUUCUGCAUGACUGUCCAAGUCUUCAUCAAACCUAAACAUCCAUAGAUUUCCCUGUUUCCUUGGGUCUUCAUUUCUGAAGGCUCCCAUGUUACAUAAAACUUACAUUGAAU
Molecule: long non-coding RNA, 10966 nt
Filed under: Homo sapiens (human)
Lineage: Eukaryota; Metazoa; Chordata; Mammalia; Primates; Hominidae
Description: non-protein coding lnc-MYO16-9:3
Source: RNAcentral